Long non-coding RNA from Oreochromis niloticus (Nile tilapia), 678 nucleotides. RefSeq lists it as uncharacterized. The record is from RefSeq and is a predicted model, not a curated record. The transcript has 2 exons. NCBI's taxonomy places the organism in Eukaryota, Metazoa, Chordata, Actinopteri, Cichliformes, Cichlidae.
UGGUUAUAUGUUUCUCUCUCCUGUCUCUCACCUGUCUGCCUGGGCGGAGCUCAGCUGGGCUCCGCCCUUGGCCCACGCACCUGCCGUGAAUCUACCUGAUGACCUGGACUCCUGGGCUAUUUAAGCUGAGGCUCAGAAGGCUUCUUCGCUGGGUGGUGGACUUACUCUCGUUCUCGCACUCGUCCGUGACCCCGAUCUGUUUCCCUGGUGGCGUGGAGUGGAGUGGAGUGAGUGUGCUGAAAACAAAUAUGAGAGGAGCGAGUGAGCGGAGCGAGUGUUGGACUUUGUCCUUUUCCCCUGGACCAUUGCACAUCCUGCCCUGUACACGUGGGGUUUGUAAAUAAAUGUACGACUGCUGUUCUAGUUCAGCUGCUCUGCGCCUGCUGACAGCUGCAGUUAUUAUAUGACAUUUUAUUAUUGUAUUAUCCAUCCAUUCACCUCUACUGUUCUUGCAUUACAUCACAUAGUCAGCAUAAAUAUGUUUUUAAUGGAUGAUGAAAGUGGGAUGAAUUUAAUGAGCCCUUGUUGAGAGAGGUGGGACAGAGAGAGACAGAAGUCCCCCCCUCACCUCUUAUUGGCUCUGAGAGAAAUAAAAAGGUUUUAACAUUUAGGCUGUUGUGUUUACAAUGAUAUGAAGUGCUGUUAGUAAAUCAUCUUCAUUCUGAAUCAGAAGUUUAA